GGCCCACUGGUGUAACGGUCAACGCGUCUCACUCCUGCAUGCUCUUUGCUAUCCUUAUUCUUGCUUUGUACAGUAUUGUAUUCUUUCGCAGGAGUGAGAAGAUCUCGGGUUCGAGUCCUGGGGGGGUCA
Non-coding RNA from Cercophora sp. LCS_1, 129 nucleotides. NCBI's taxonomy places the organism in Eukaryota, Fungi, Ascomycota, Sordariomycetes, Sordariales, Lasiosphaeriaceae. The record is from the annotation of a GenBank genome assembly.